CUAGUUUGGUCACAGUAAAAACUGAUUUAGAUUCAAUAGAAAUGAACAGAAUCAUUAUAGUUUCAGUCGAGUAUUAACUGAUUCAGGAUCAAUAUAAACAAACAGGACCUAUUAAAACUGGUUUAAGACCAGUGUAAACUAGAUUAGUGUCAGUGUAAGCUGAUUCAGGAUCAAUAUAAAUAGACAGAACCUUUAUAAAAUGCUUUAAGAUCAAUGUAAACUAGUUUAGUCUCUGUAUAAACUGGUUCUGCUCAGUUUGAAGUGGAUCAGCACAAACUGGAGCCUUACUGGGUCCCCACAGCAUCUGGCACUGGGUGUUCAUGCUGGCGCAGACUCCUCCAUAGCAGUAGGAGGCGCCGUCCUCGCAGGGCUCUCCGUUCUGCAGGAAGACGUUGGGUGGGCAGUAGGGGGAGGAACCUGUGCAGAACUCGGGAAGGUCGCACUCUCCGAGCGGAUCACGGCACACCGAGCCUGCCGCUCGCAGCUGAGGAUGGAGGUAAGGUUUAGUUCAAAUACUGGCUGAGAUUAGUAUUAUGUCUGUGGUAUCGUGUCAGUCUGACCUUGCAGUCCUGGCAGCAGAUACCAUCAGAGGAGCACUGAGCGCCAGGAACCAGCUGACAGGUGGAGGCGUUACAACAGGGGUCCUCACAUUCCUGACCAAUCAGAGCACAGCAGCACAUCAACAGGAUGGACGACACAGAAAGGUUUCCACAGCGAGGUCCUCCCAGCAGGCGUUCUGGCUGCGGUACGUUGAACAGACACAUACCACCGCCGUGCAGCAGGCUGAUGGACAGAUCUGAAGCGCUGCAGCUGCUGAACUGUUGACCCGGCAUGAACCUGAGAUUAUAUUUUGUUGAUGUCUGAAGAAAUGAAGUGCUGCCAUCUUAAGCCAAAUACACGUCACUGCAGCAAUAAAAAGUCCUGCACCUUUAUGGAAACAGCACAAUAAUGGCUAGGAGGAGAGAAGCCUGGAAUCAACACCAACAUUAUUGCAAGUGUCCACAAGUUCUACCAACACUAGAAAAAUUGGGGAAACUAUUUAUAUUUUUACUGUCUCAACAAAAACAGCCCUGGAGAGACAUUUGAGUACCAAAGAAGGUCGAUUUUUUGUGUUUCACGGGACAUGGUGCAAACGCUUUAUUUUUUAGAGACAUGUAGAAUAAAGUAGUUUGGAGAAAAAACUUUAUCUUAGUAGAAAUUUCAAUCAAUUACCCAAGAAAAUAAUCAGCAGAUUGAUCAAUAAGACACAAACACACUGACCUCCUGGUGAUCGGCCACCAGCACCAGUUCGAUGUAUUUGGUCUCAGACAGGAUGUCUCUCUUGGUCUGCAGACAAAACACACACAAGUCAGAGUUACAGGACAAUAAGUAGAAUCUGAAGAACUUUACUAUUUCCAGCCUAUACAACUCUGUACAUUAACUCCACUAAGGUUUGGAUAGAAAUAUUGUGUUUAUCCUCCAGUAAGUUAAAGUUUUUCAGCAGCAAUAAUACUCUGAUAUGAUAUAAUGAUCAGCCACAACACUAAAACCAUCUGUCUAAAAUUGUGCAUUCCCUCCUCUCUGAUUGGUCGAGGACUCCACAGACCUCUGAAGGGGUUCUGUGGUUUAAGGCACCAAGGUGUCAGCAGCAGGUCCUUUAAUACCUGGAAAUUGUGAGGUGAAACCUCCAUGGAUCAGAUUGGGUGUCUGCUCGAUCAGACUGAGAUCUGGGAAAUUCAGCACCUUGAACUCUUUGUCACAUUCCUCAAACAAUUCCUGAACAGUGUUUGCAGUGUGGCAUGGAGCAUUAUUCUGCUGAAAGAGGUCAUUGGUAAAUUAAUGAAGCUAUGAAGGGCUGUAUGUGGUCUGCAGCAAUGUUUAGGAGUCACAGUAUCAUCCACAUGAAUGCUGGAACCAACAUUUCCCAGUGGUAAACACUGACCUUUCAUGGGAGACUGACUGGUCUGUAAUUAUGUAGAAUCAUGCACGACAAGCUGUGAUGCACUUUUUGCUCUCUUUGUGAUCAUUUUGUCUCAGUAUGGUUGUUUUGAGUAUGUUUGUGGUUGUUCUGCAUGUAUUUGUGGUCAUUUUGCAUCAAUCUGUCAUAAUUUUUUGUUCCUUUGUGAUUGUUUUGCUGCUCUUUGCAAUAGUUUGGUGUGUAUUUGUGAUUUAGUUGUGUAGCAUCAGUUACCACAGCGAUCUACCAGGUUAAAGAGGCUCAACAUCGAUAACUAACCCUCGAAACUCACUUCACAGUACAUCCUUCUGCUCUCUCCAUGUUACUGAAGAAGUUCGUCUCACCCUGUGUGUGUGCGUUGGGCUGUGGAUGGGUGGGAUGGCAGUGUGCGACACCCCGCAGCCUCCGGUGCCGUCGCCUUCCAGUGAACUGGUGGAAAACAGCAGGUGGACUCCUUCAUCUCCUUCUCCACUUCCUCCACUCUCCCCGUCCUCCUCGUGGUGGUGGUCCUCCUGCGGCUGCAGCUCGAAGCUCAGCGUGGAGUUCAGGGCGAUGACGCCGCUGCACGAGGAGACACAGUUAGCUUCUCUACUCAUAAUUUUUAUCUGAUUUCUAAGCAUAUUUAUAGAUGUUUGUUUGCUUUCUCUUCUGGUUUGUCCUGCUCAUUGUUCGUGGAAGUUACACAAUCGAUAAAUUCAUUAAGUUUUAAAUCCCGUCUGGAACAAUGAAUGAAAUUAGGAGGGAAGAGGACCAGGCCCUUCGCAGUGGGGCUGCAACUUAUGAUUAUUUCCCAUUGUUCAGCAUUUACUGGAAUAAUUGAUCAGUUGUUUGGUCUUUAAAAUGUCAGAAAAUGGCGAAAAAUGGCUAUCAGUGUUUCCCAAAGCCCAAGAUGAUGGCAGUCUGAUGUACUUAUGUGAGCAUAUCGUUUCUAUAGGAUCUGGAGCAGGCGGUUUAUAUUUGACAAAUGUAUGAAUGUGGAAUAGAGUGAUUUUGAUGAAAUAACAUAAUUUUACCGAUAAAAACAAACACAUCCCACAUGAUAAGUUCAAGGACCACCGAAAAAUUACAAUUACUUCUGCUUCUACAGUUUCAGAUUCUGAUUAAUAGUGUAAUUUUGGCUAUUUUUUUAAGAAAAUUUGCAUUUUAAACUUGCUGUUGGAUUCAGAGGGUUAACGUCUGGUGAGAAACUACAGGUUUCCGGCACAUUCCAGCAGAAGUUCACGCUUAGCUGCAAAGUUACCUUACGAUUUAUCUUGAUACACAUUAGAAUAUCAAAGGAAAGUUUUUAUCAAGGAGGCCUGAAAAUGUACUAAGAUUUAAAGUGUGAGGUAAAAUAGGUUUUCAUGUGUUCAAACUAUUUGCUUUUGGAUUUGACAGUGCAUUUGUAAGAACAAUAAUUGACCCACCUAUCGUCUCACACAUUUGUGUUGUUUGUAGCUCAUGUCUUCGUUAAAGUUACUAUAUUUUUUGUUUGUUGUCAGAGGUUUUAAUGUUUUCCUGGGUAAUCUAAAGUGCUUAAUCAAAGGUCUAAACCUGUCCUGCACAGUGAGCUCGAUCCUCUGAUCCUGAAACCACCAGCUGGAGCUGCUCUCUUCACGUGAGCUGCCAAAUAAACCCACUAAUCCUCCCUCAGCCUGCACACUCUCUGCCACACAGGUCAGAGGUCACGCCCAUUGAUCCGGAUCAGUUCCACCUGUAGAGGAACGCUGAUGCCGUCACUCGCUUUUUCUGCCGAGAACAGCCAAGAAACACAAAGAACUGAAACACAAUAAAUCCUGAACUCUGGAAUGAA
This is a long non-coding RNA of Amphiprion ocellaris (clown anemonefish), 3728 nucleotides long. RefSeq lists it as uncharacterized. Lineage: Eukaryota; Metazoa; Chordata; Actinopteri; Pomacentridae. The record is from RefSeq and is a predicted model, not a curated record. The transcript has 4 exons.